GUGAGUCAUCGAAUCUUUGAACGCACAUUGCGCCCCUUGGUAUUCCAUGGGGCAUGCCUGUUCGAGCGUCAUCUACACCCUCAAGCUCUGCUUGGUGUUGGGCGUCUGUCCCGCCUCCGCGCGUGGACUCGCCCCAAAGUCAUUGGCAGCGGUCUUUGCCUCCUCUCGCGCAGCACAUUGCGCUUCUUGAGCGACGGCGGCCCGCGUCCACGAAGCAUACUCUUGUCUUUGACCUCGGAUCAGGUAGGGAUACCCGCUGAACUUAAGCAUAUCAAUAAGCGGAGGA
RNAcentral lists this unclassified non-coding RNA (286 nucleotides) under Verrucoconiothyrium sp. RNAcentral's name for it is "partial contains 5.8S ribosomal RNA, internal transcribed spacer 2, and large subunit ribosomal RNA". The stretch from base 1 to 71 matches the Rfam family "5.8S ribosomal RNA", at positions 84 to 154 of the family's 154-position model. Lineage: Eukaryota; Fungi; Ascomycota; Dothideomycetes; Pleosporales; Didymosphaeriaceae. The record is from RNAcentral.